AUACGUAGGGGGCGAGCGUUGUCCGGAAUGAUUGGGCGUAAAGGGCGCGUAGGCGGCCCGGUAAGUCUGGAGUGAAAGUCCUGUUUUUAAGAUGGGAAUUGCUUUGGAUACUGUCGGGCUUGAGUGCAGGAGAGGUAAGUGGAAUUCCCAGUGUAGCGGUGAAAUGCGUAGAGAUUGGGAGGAACACCAGUGGCGAAGGCGGCUUGCGAGAUUGUAACUGACGCUGAGGCGCGAAAGCGAGGGGAGCGAACGGGAUUAGAUACCCCGGUAGUCCUAGCUCUAAACGAUGCACACUAGGUGUUGGUGGUAUUGACGCCAUCAGUGCCGUAGCUAACGCAUUAAGUGAGCCGCCUGGGGAGUACGGCCGCAAGGUUGAAACUCAAAUGAAUUGACGG
RNAcentral lists this ribosomal RNA (395 nucleotides) under uncultured bacterium. Its description in RNAcentral is "partial 16S ribosomal RNA". It matches the Rfam family "Bacterial small subunit ribosomal RNA", at positions 523 to 916 of the family's 1533-position model. The record is from RNAcentral.